RNAcentral lists this long non-coding RNA (4147 nucleotides) under Hordeum vulgare. RNAcentral's name for it is "long non-coding RNA (HVUL_LNC012333)". The record is from RNAcentral. Lineage: Eukaryota; Viridiplantae; Streptophyta; Magnoliopsida; Poales; Poaceae.
UAUUUGUGAACAGAGGGAGUACUAAAUAAAAUUAAAAGCAUGGAAGCAAAACCGGAAAUAAUUGUUGAAAAGGAAGCAAACAUUCAGAUCUAUAAUUUGAUUGUAAUAUUUACAAGAUAAAUGAAAUCCAUGUUAGAACUAAAUUGUAAUGUGCUCCGAACGAAAACAAACAUGUAUAAGAGAAAGGGGCAACCACAUUUAGCUUGUACAGUAUCUUGAGCUUUUACACCCCCAACCCACUUCUCGUCAACAGUGCAUGAGAGACAUCUCUUCCUCUCACAUCAAUUGCAUCUUGUUCAAACUCCAAUCCUCAUGGUCCAAUCUUUCGAUGCCUCAGACACCAGAUUUGAAGCUCUGAGGUGGGGAAGAUGUUGGUUUGGGCACCAUUGCCUCCUUUAUCCUAGGGCAAACAGAGUGGCCAGAUGUUGAUGUGAGAAAGAAAAUUCACCAGUGGGAAUAACAGGCACCCCAACGCUACAUCCCAAUGCCAUCUGCCCUUUAAUUUGAACUCAAACCAGCCUGGAGGAAGGGGACGGAAUCUACCAAGGCACUGGUGAAGGAUAGCAAUCCUAGCAAGGCCUUGAGUUAUGUCCGUCACCAGGCUAUAUAAUGCUUGUCCUCUGUGUGUCAGUGUUUCCUUGCUAAAGCCAGCAGCAUGAGCCAAGAAUGGCACUAUCCAGGAACCCACAAGCCAAAAUGUCGCAAUCCACAAAAACAUGACUUGUAUUCAUAAAAUAUAACUGGGUACCAUUAAUAUCAAAUUCAUGUAAAGUGCAAAGAGAUCAUUAUAUUCAAAUCAACAUUCCCUGUUUAACUGACAUCUUUAGAAAGACAACCAAUAACCAACAGGAAUAGUCAUCCAUUCCUUUCUAUUAUAUAUGUACAUAAUAUGCUACACAUGCAUCAUAACUUAUUUUUCUUUAAGGGGGCAUAUUUUUAUACCCAGCCUGUUUGGAGUGGCCCCUGUGUUAUGAUUGUGACUUUAAUCCCACAUUAGAAUUAGAAGCCUAAAGGUGAGUGACACGAUAAUGUAAUUCUUCUUCUGUCGUCCCCAUCCCUGUUAGCCCUUUAACAAGAGGAAGCGACAAAAUUCUAAGUGAGGUGAUAUGCAUGAAUAACAUGUCCCACACAGGAGCUGAGUUGGGGACGACACAAAAAAAUAAAAAAAGAACAUUAUGGUAAUGCAGAGUACCUUGUUAUAACUUAUAAGAUCUCCUACAGAGUAAGAAAAUCAUAGGUGGACACAUAAGGGCAAUAUUAAUAUCUGUCUAGUGUCUCAUAUCAUAUUCGAAAUAAAGUAUCAACAUGGGUUUGACAUCUUAUAUAUCAGAUUCACAUUUGAUAUGUCUAUGUCCAUAUAGAGAAAAUCUAACGGAACAGGGACGAAUUACGUUAUGAGAAAAACAACAACUGGCCCUACAUCCCGUAGGAUAUCCAGAAGAUAUCUGCUGAAUUAGUAAAAUGGAUAUCCGAUAAGACCAAAACUUAAUAGAAUGAGUAGAGAACUAACCUGGGCAAUUGUUUGUCCAGUCCAAGGUACCGCCCAGCGCCCAUUCCAAAAUCUGAAUAUUGUUUCCUGUAGAUUUUCCUUUAUCUGUGACAUAUAUUCAGAAUUCUCAUUGAUUCACAUGACAAAGUCGAAGUCUUAAAAAUGAAAACGAGUAGCAGUUGAUAUCUGCUCCCUCCGUUUCGAAUUAUAAGACGUUCUAAUUUUUUUUCUAAAUCGGGUGUAUACAUAUGUGUUUUAGUGUGUUUGUUCGCUCAUUUCAGUCCGUAUAUAGUCCAUAUUGAAAUAUCCUAAACGUCCUAUAAUUAGGAACAGAGGUAUUAGCAAAUUAGACACAAGUGGGAAUAACAGGCACCCCAACGUUUAGGAUAUAUCUCACUUCAACAUGAGCCUAAAACACAUGGGCUCCUCGUACAUCGAUAAUCAAUGCCGGCCAGUUUGGUUGAUAGUAAUGCCACCAUGGCCCUACAAAAAUAUGGACAAAGUAACAUUAAAAUAUUAUCUUUUUUGUGAAAAAGGAGAAUGUAGCAUUAAAACGGAGUGGAGAAACACAUUAUGCAGUGAUGAACAAGACUUUUCCUUAAGUGGAACAACAGAAAAAAAAAUCAGUGAAAUGGAAACCAAUGAAUGACUAUCUAACAGUUAAUUUACUUCUGUACUAAUUGAUAAGCAUAUUGUCUAGUUAAUGGGUGCAAAUGACUUGCUGACAUCAAAGCUGGCAAAAUCUUAAACAACUACAUGCCAUUUUAGUCUUAAACAAAACAAAGAAAGCAGAUGUGUGACUGUAAGGUAUGCAUUCAUUACCCAGCUCAUUAUGAACUUGCAACCAAAUAUAUGGUUCAGUAGGAUGUUCAUAAGAUUUGUCAAUAUGUUAGAGCUAACUAUUCUGUGCAUCAAGCUAUGCAUAUACAGCAAUAAAAAACAUUCCUUUUGUGCAUAAGAAGUUAAGCCAAUGAUGUAUCUCAUAGUACUUACUAUGUAAAUUAGGAACUACUUGAUAUACUGUAUGCACAAGAUGCCAUCAAUUUCAGAAUAAAAAAAUAGAGUGCAUUGUAGCACGUCCUUGCAUCUGAACCAAUCUGAUAUCAGAAGUACUUACUAUGUAAAUUAGAAACUACUUGAUAUAUUGUAUGCACAAGAUGCCAUCAAUUUCAGAAUAAAAAAUAGAGUGCAUUGUAGCACGUCCUUGCAUCUGAACCAAUCUGAUAUCAGAAAAAGGCAUGCUAAUUUAUUUAUGGGCGACAUAUGAAUGAGAAGGGAAAACAUUUGGGGACAGUUUUCGCUAGUUCAUUCUAUAAUCAACGCAUAGUUUAUUUAUUAUGUCCAGUGAUCUCAUUUUGGAAGGGCUUGGGAGUUUCUAUAAAAAUCUUGCACACAUGCUUUGAUUUUCGCUUCCAAUUUGGUUGGAAACUAAUAACUUUGGCCAUCUGCAAUAGAAACGGUAGUGCAGAUCAUGAACUUUUUAGUCCAUGUCCUUUACCUCAUAGUGAAAAAGGUAUACUACAGUAAAAAUUGUUGUCAUUUUUUGUUAGUAUAAUCUUGAAAUUUUUAACUGUUUGGUAUGGCUGCUCAGUACUAUCAAACUGUAUUCAUGCAGAAACAUACCAUCUACAUUUACUUAAUAGGGGUAAAAUUAGUGGCAAAGUUACUUUUGCAUCCGAGAGAACUCCCACUUAAACGGUAUUAGUCCCGUGAGGUCAGUGGAACUGAAGAGUGCAAUAUCCAAAUGGGGGAUGAACUGAAGUGUUCAUGCGCACGUACCUCCCAAUGAAGGUAAUGAACACUGCUCACCUUCGUUGUGGAAGAACGACAACUCAAGAUGCAUCGGCAACAAGAUAACCUCUUAAUCUGAGAUAGAUUUAGAUAGAAACUCAGUGACUUUUUCUUGAAUGCAAAGGGUUACUUAAAGUUGCUUAAUCUGAAGAACAAAAGAAAGCGGACUGACACAUGUUGCAGUUUUAGGAAUAGUAGAACGGACUACUUGAGAAAAAAUAACGAAUGCCCAAAACUUAAUUAGGUGCAACAAGAGAAUCUAAGUGUGCACUAAUUAAGGGAUGAAAUACCCAAUGCAUCUGCUCCAAGUGAGAAAAAUUGCUUUUCUUGAUUACAGACUACUAUAGCUUAUAUUUUGAUGAAAGCCAGAAAAAUGAUUUUUGUCAUACCAAAAAAAUCAAUGCUCAUAUACCUGAACCUCACAUCGAUCCUGGAGCCAUGCCCUGCUCUCCUAGUUCCUCCCGAAGUCCAAAAUUAUCGCAGAUCAAAACAACUCCACCUCGACGGCGUUAUUGUGAUUCCCAGUGGUCUCUUCAACCGCUGACCAUUAACGACCAAAAUUAAAUCAGUGAGGAGCAGGGAUGGGGAAGAAGUCACAUGAGCAUGAUAACCCAUCAUCUUAUCACGUGCUUUUCAAGCCCGCAUGGAAACCGGUGAUGUUGCCACCAUGUACGUCCAGCUUCGCCAUCCAACACCAGAUAUCACCAGGUGUCUCUGCACACAAAACAAGACCAAGAUCAAUACAACACACCACAUGCCUGGGAAAUUCGGAACAAGCAAAUCUAAUUCAAACAGAAAAGAACAAGGGGCAUCUUAUUCUAACAAUUCUCAAACAACUCAUAAUUUUGAAAACAGGCAAACAUAUAC